GAGCAGCGCCGCGUUCGAGCCGUGAGGCGCUGUGGGGGCUGCUGUGGGGCUCCUCCCUUCCCCUGCCGUUACUCCCCCUGCCCUCCCUUAGGCACGGCUUGCUCUGCCUGCCCUGCCUGCAGCAACCUCGUGAUUGGGAUCGGAAGCAUUAUAACUUGGUGGCACGCUGGAGUUGUGUGGUCAGGCCCCUCUGCCUGUGUAUCCAGCUCUCAGCUCGCAAACACCCUCCAGUUCCUGAGGGGAGCUCCUGAGCGGGAGGGAGAGCAGCUUUUUUACACGGGCAGAGGGUGACGGGACGAGGAAGAACGCCUUUAAACUGAAAGUGGAGGUUUAGCUGAGGAGGAAACCGCUUUCCCGGAGGGCGGUGAGGCCCUGGCAUAGGCUGCCUGGAGAGGUGUGGGUGCUCCAUCCCUGGAGCGGCUCCAAGCCAGGCUGGGUGAUCCCUGAGCAGCCCCAGGUAGGUGUGGAAAGCUGCUGGACACAACCAUUCCAACCCAACCGUUCUGUCAUUCCAUGCUGACCGGCCUACGCGACCGGCAGGAGCUGCAGAUGGAGCCUUGCACUGCCUCAGCAUCACAAAGCAUGGAACUUCGUUUGUGUAAAGCCUGCACUAUACCACUUCGCUUCAUGCAGUGUGUUCCCAUCCCAUGGGUUCCCAUCCCCAAGAAGAGCUGUUGGAGUGAAUAAUGGCCAUCGGCUGUGGCUGAGCUGCUGUGACCUACCUGUGGUCGUGCUGAGGAAUGGCGUCCACCACUGCAAAGCUUCAGGGACCUUUCUGUGCCUUUCAGCAGGGCGCCUGGCAGCAGACAACAGCACUCAUUCGAACAGUGAGGAGGGAGUAGGCGUCUGUAAGGGAGCCAAUCCCGUGUUCUGGUGCCAUGGUGGAAGACAGGUUUCUUUACACCACUCCACAAUGAGUGAACUUUUGCAAGCAAGGUAAUAAAUCAGCACCGUGCUGUAAGUUGUUUGCUCCACA
Long non-coding RNA from Gallus gallus (chicken), 976 nucleotides. RefSeq lists it as uncharacterized. Lineage: Eukaryota; Metazoa; Chordata; Aves; Galliformes; Phasianidae. The transcript is spliced from 2 exons. The record is from RefSeq and is a predicted model, not a curated record.